Molecule: ribosomal RNA, 253 nt
Filed under: uncultured bacterium
Lineage: Bacteria
Description: partial 16S ribosomal RNA
Rfam family: Bacterial small subunit ribosomal RNA
Source: RNAcentral
UACGAAGGGGGCUAGCGUUGCUCGGAAUCCCUGGGCGUAAAGCGCACGUAGGCGGAUCUUUAAGUCAGGGGUGAAAUCCUGGAGCUCAACUCCAGAACUGCCCUUGAUACUGGGGAUCUUGAGUCCGGAAGAGGUGAGUGGAACUCCGAGUGUAGAGGUGAAAUUCGUAGAUAUUCGGAAGAACACCAGUGGCGAAGGCGGCUCACUGGUCCGGUACUGACGCUGAGGUGCGAAAGCGUGGGGAGCAAACAGG